AUUUGGGCUUCAUAUCAUGUCCGUACGAGGCCUGACUACCACAAUCUCUUCCUGGAAGAACCCUAAUCAUCCUCUACGCUCGCCUUCGUGAACUCCGCUCUCCUUCGAUCGGCGCAGCUGCGCUCCAUCUUCUGUAACGGUUCUUCGAUAGUUAAUGGACUUUAAACGUCUUAAAUCACCACUGCGAAGCUCCCUCCUGCGCCGCACCUCUGCUGCACUUUAGUACUCUCACGAUUCAUUGAUACUCGAAUCUGACCUCAUCUUUUCCAAUGGCUAUGGCGAAGGUUUUCUUUUCCGAUCUCAAGGCUGGGCGGUGCUCAUCCGUUGUGGAAGCGAGACUACUUCGAUUCUAGGAGGCUAGGAAUGUUAAGCGUGGUGGAGAGCUAAUGUGGAUGGAUCUGCUCAUGGUUGAUGUCAAAUCGACUGUGAUGCAAGUCACGAUCAGUGCUGGCCGUCUCCCACAGUUCAACAAUUCGAAUGACUACAGCACGACACCUGUCCCCUUUCUCUAAACUGUGCGUUCCAUUGAAGCAAACUUUGUUUCGUCAUCUUCUACCACAAGCUUUUCAUCUUCUUCAAUAUCAAAACUCGAUCUGUUCCUCCUACAUGUCAUCCUCAUUAACGAGCUUCUCCGUUGAAGUCUCCCUGGCUCCUCCAUCUCGAGUUCUGCUUCUCACGCCGUCUAGGACCUGUCUCGAUGAUGCUGCCUCUCUGACUCCACCACUGCGUCAUUUCCUUUGCGAGCAAUUCCAUAUCUCCUCUUUAUCCAAAGCGACUCCAUAUUUCUUUUCCUUCUCUUUCUGUCACCGGCAAUGGUGGUUAAGCUCCUUGGAUCUGCUCUGAGAUUGGAUAUGGUUAUAUUUGAUUAUCAAUCCUGUGUUUGAGGAUCUGUUAGAUUCUGAUUUGAUUUAUCUGAACCUUCACUGAUAUUGACGAGAGUCUAAUGUAAAUUAAGUCUGUUGCUAGCCUAUUUUUAUAUUGGUUAUGAAUUAUAAUGUUUUUGUGUGAUUGAUUUUGUUUGAUCUCAGUGUAGAUCUUUAGAUUGGUUUCUUUGAUUUAGGUUCUGUCAUGCUUACUAUUGAGUGAACAGAGCAGGAAUUCCUAUGCUCCAGAUUGUAUCUCACUUCAUAAGAAAAAUGGGCUUGAUGCCACUGAAUAUGGAUGCAAUGGAUUGUAUGGUAUUUGGAAGUGAGUAAUCUGAAUAUGCAAGAAGGCUCUCCCCACUGAUGUUAAUAUCUCAAUCCAUCCAAUUAGACAAGCUAAGUUUACAAGUGUCUUUCUUUCUUUGUCGUUUCUAUAUAUUCUGAGUUUAUUUGCAUUGCUUAAAAUUAUACGACUUAUUAAUGGCAUGGUGGAAGUGCGGCUGCUCAGAUUUGUCUGGCUUUGAGGUUUUUUGCUGUUGUGGUAGCAAAUAUAAUCUGUUUGGUUCUAACAUGGUUUGCAUGUAACUCGGUUUUCAUAUAAUUGCUCUGAUGAAAUGUGUCAUGAACUUAUUGUCUUGAGCUACCUUUCUAAUUAUUUUUAGAUCACCGAAGUAACUACGGAGCAAUGGAUUCAGGCUCAGCAGCUUGAACAGCUCAUUAGUGACAUCCAAGGAAAACAUUUUCCCAAAGUUCAAGAAGCAUUUGAUGUUCAUUGGGAUGGAAAGAAGGCUAUCUCUUUGUACAAUCAUAUCUCACAUAAGCCAUGUCUCAAUAAAAUAGCUUCUGGGCUGCUGUUACAAGACACCACCACCAGUUGCAAAGGUUCAUCAAACAUGAGAUGGGAAGAACCGAGAUCACACAUGGCUAGGUGCAGAGAUCUUCGUUGGCAAAAAAAAGGGAAGCUAAACGUGAAAAUCAGUAUGAGAAAAUUGGAUUAGCUAUAAGUUAACCAGAAUGAAAGGAGACUGGCAGACCUUUGCUGAACCUUUGUGAAGGAUGGUCUGGGUAAGCCUGUCACUGUGAGAAAGGUAGUACCAUGAGAUUUAGCAACGCAUAAGUGUAACCUGUUUUCCUCUUUUUCCAGAGAAGAUAAGAAUGUUCCUUGAGUGACCAGUUUUCUUAGUAAGAAACAAGAUUCUUCUGCUGGAGAAAAGGAAGCCAACGAUCAAUUUUUAAAAAAAUUUGUUUAGUUAACAUUAUUGUGUUGAGAAAAAAAAAUUUACAUUAUUAAUUCAUAUUAUAUGAAUGAUAUAUUUUAAAUUCCA
Long non-coding RNA from Brassica napus (rape), 2188 nucleotides. RefSeq lists it as uncharacterized. The record is from RefSeq and is a predicted model, not a curated record. Lineage: Eukaryota; Viridiplantae; Streptophyta; Magnoliopsida; Brassicales; Brassicaceae. The transcript has 6 exons.